Molecule: non-coding RNA, 193 nt
Organism: Oryza glumipatula
Lineage: Eukaryota; Viridiplantae; Streptophyta; Magnoliopsida; Poales; Poaceae
Source: Rfam
AAAAAGUCAAAUCCUGAUUUCCGUGUCCAAUUUAACUGUCCGUUUUAUAUGAAAUUUUUUUAUAAUUUGUAUUUUCAUUAUUGUUAGAUGAUAAAAUAUGAUUAAUAUUUUAUGCGCGACUUGUCUUUUUAAAUUUUUUCAAAUAAGACGGACGGUCAAACAUUAGACACGGAAACCAGGUUUUGCCUUUUUU